GAUGAACGCUGGCGGCGUGCCUAAUACAUGCAAGUCGAGCGAACAGAUAAGGAGCUUGCUCCUUUGACGUUAGCGGCGGACGGGUGAGUAACACGUGGUUAACCUACCUAUAAGACUGGAAUAACUCCGGGAAACCGGGGCUAAUGCAGGAUAACAUGUUGAACCGCAUGGUUCUACAGUGAAAGGCGGCUUUGCUGUCACUUAUAGAUGGACCCGCGCCGUAUUAGCUAGUUGGUGAGGUAACGGCUCACCAAGGCAACGAUACGUAGCCGACCUGAGAGGGUGAUCGGCCACACUGGAACUGAGACACGGUCCAGACUCCUACGGGAGGCAGCAGUAGGGAAUCCUCCGCAAUGGGCGAAAGCCUGACGGAGCAACGCCGCGUGAGUGAUGAAGGUCUUCGGAUCGUAAAACUCUGUUAUUAGGGAAGAACAAAUGCGUAAGUAACUGUGCGCGUCUUGACGGUACCUAAUCAGAAAGCCACGGCUAACUACGUG
RNAcentral lists this ribosomal RNA (497 nucleotides) under uncultured bacterium. Its description in RNAcentral is "partial 16S ribosomal RNA". It matches the Rfam family "Bacterial small subunit ribosomal RNA", at positions 28 to 507 of the family's 1533-position model. The record is from RNAcentral.